This 466-nucleotide ribosomal RNA is filed under the name uncultured bacterium. RNAcentral describes it as "partial 16S ribosomal RNA". It matches the Rfam family "Bacterial small subunit ribosomal RNA", at positions 28 to 507 of the family's 1533-position model. The record is from RNAcentral.
GACGAACGCUGGCGGCGCGCCUAACACAUGCAAGUCGAACGAGCGAGCGAGAGCUUGCUUUCUCGAGCGAGUGGCGAACGGGUGAGUAACGCGUGAGGAACCUGCCUCAAAGAGGGGGACAACAGUUGGAAACGACUGCUAAUACCGCAUAAGCCCACGGCUCGGCAUCGAGCAGGGGGAAAAGGAGCAAUCCGCUUUGAGAUGGCCUCGCGUCCGAUUAGCUAGUUGGUGAGGUAACGGCCCACCAAGGCGACGAUCGGUAGCCGGACUGAGAGGUUGAACGGCCACAUUGGGACUGAGACACGGCCCAGACUCCUACGGGAGGCAGCAGUGGGGAAUAUUGCACAAUGGGGGAAACCCUGAUGCAGCGACGCCGCGUGGAGGAAGAAGGUCUUCGGAUUGUAAACUCCUGUUGUUGGGGAAGAUAAUGACGGUACCCAACAAGGAAGUGACGGCUAACUACGUG